ACUCCUACGGGAGGCAGCAGUGGGGAAUAUUGCACAAUGGGCGCAAGCCUGAUGCAGCCAUGCCGCGUGUGUGAAGAAGGCCUUCGGUUGUAAAGCACUUUCAGUCGUGAGGAAGGCGGGUACGUUAAUAGCGUAUUCGUUUGACGUUAGCGACAGAAGAAGCACCGGCUAACUCCGUGCCAGCAGCCGCGGUAAUACGGAGGGUGCGAGCGUUAAUCGGAAUUACUGGGCGUAAAGCGCAUGCAGGUGGUUUGUUAAGUCAGAUGUGAAAGCCCGGGGGCUCAACCUCGGAAUAGCAUUUGAAACUGGCAGACUAGAGUACUGUAGAGGGGGUAGAAUUUCAGGUGUAGCGGUGAAAUGCGUAGAGAUCUGAAGGAAUACCGGUGGCGAAGGCGGCCCCCUGGACAGAUACUGACACUCAGAUGCGAAAGCGUGGGGAGCAAACAGGAUUAGAUACCCUGGUAGGACAGUG
Molecule: ribosomal RNA, 472 nt
Filed under: uncultured bacterium
Lineage: Bacteria
Description: bacterial SSU rRNA
Rfam family: Bacterial small subunit ribosomal RNA
Source: RNAcentral